AGUUAACGUUGGCGGCGUGCCUAACACAUGCAAGUCGAACGCGUCCUAAGGGCAACUUUAGGAUGAGUGGCGAACGGGUGAGUAUCACGUGGGUAAUCUUCCUUUAAGUGGGGAAUAAGCUCUCGAAAGGGAGUCUAAUACCGCAUGACAUUCCGGGACACAAGUCCCGUAAUCAAAGCCGCAAGGCGCUUGAAGAUGAGCCUGCGUCCUAUUAGCUAGUUGGUGGGGUAACGGCCUACCAAGGCUCAGAUGGGUAGCCGGCCUGAGAGGGUGAACGGCCACACUGGGACUGAGACACGGCCCAGACUCCUACGGGAGGCUGCAGUCGAGAAUUUGGGCAAUGGAUGAAAGUCUGACCCAGCAAUGCCGCGUGCGGGAUGAAGGUCUUCGGAUUGUAAACCGCUGUCGAGGGGGACGAAAUAUGACGGUACCCCUGGAGGAAGCCACGGCUAACUACGUG
Molecule: ribosomal RNA, 460 nt
Filed under: uncultured bacterium
Lineage: Bacteria
Description: bacterial SSU rRNA
Rfam family: Bacterial small subunit ribosomal RNA
Source: RNAcentral